This is a long non-coding RNA of Balaenoptera musculus (blue whale), 537 nucleotides long. RefSeq lists it as uncharacterized. The record is from RefSeq and is a predicted model, not a curated record. NCBI's taxonomy places the organism in Eukaryota, Metazoa, Chordata, Mammalia, Artiodactyla, Balaenopteridae. The transcript has 3 exons.
AGCCACCCCCCGCCUCUGCAGGAGACCCUUUAACACUAGCAGCUGGCCCAACGUGACAUCUUCAGGGCCGGGGGACCCAGGCACACGCCUCCAGCAGCAUUGCGGUGGGGAGAUGGGUGGGCUUUAUCUGCCCCGGGGCCAGCAUCGCACCCAAUGCCAUCACAGGACCUGUAACUUGCUGUAAACAACAUCCCUGGCCAAAAAAAAAAAAAAACCAACCCAGAAAACAAAACCAAAAACACCCCAUCUGGGCUGGAAACACCAGUAUAUUUCAUCAGAUGCCUGAUCUGGGAAGAGAGAGGGGAGUGAGAGGAAGAAGCUGCAAGGUCAGGAGAAGCCAUCUUUGCAUCCUGAGAUUCCUCUCCAUCAUCGUCACGGGGACCAGCUCAUAUCCCCGCCUCGCAGUCACAGGGCAUAAUCCAGUUACCCCGUUCCCCCACACGUUCUCUGUCUUUGGGAAGAAGGACCCUGAACCCCAAAGCUUAGUGUUCCCAAAAGAAAAAAAAAGGAGGACAAGUACAACCCACAGAUCUUUGA